GUCUGUGAUUAUACUUCCCUGAAUGCAACUGAUCUCAUCUGUUUACAGAAGCUGAACAUGGUAAAGCUAAUUAGCACUUGGAUAGGGGAACACUCUUCCCAAUAAUAGCAAGAUC
Molecule: ribosomal RNA, 115 nt
Filed under: Octodon degus (degu)
Lineage: Eukaryota; Metazoa; Chordata; Mammalia; Rodentia; Octodontidae
Source: RNAcentral